Carassius auratus (goldfish) is the source of this 448-nucleotide long non-coding RNA. RefSeq lists it as uncharacterized. The transcript has 3 exons. Lineage: Eukaryota; Metazoa; Chordata; Actinopteri; Cypriniformes; Cyprinidae. The record is from RefSeq and is a predicted model, not a curated record.
AUUAAUUUGGACUAGAAGGAUGCAUCCCAUUUGAUACAUGAAGCUGUAGUUUACUCAUGUAAUGUAGACCCAUUCACAUACCUCACCCCUAAUAUUAUAAAGAGUCUUGACGUGUUCUAUGGGUUUGCAUGCAUUUACAUUACUAUUUAUUAAGACAUUUACUAAGGGACAGUACUACAGGGUAUUUGAAUGACAUUACAUUUUUCUGUGUUAGGGAGGCGUAAACCACCAGCAACACUCUCAAAACCAGAACGGCCUGAUGAAUAUAGUGCUACUGCAUCUCCAUGGUCAGUGACGGUUCCUUUGCCAGUAUCUCCAGAGUUGCUUGAAUUAUCUAUUAGCAAGACCACAUUGGCUUUGAGACCAGCGCAGGAAACCGUGUUCUGUCAGUCCCUCCUCCCAGUGACCACUGCACAGUCUACAACCUCUACUCCUCCCUCAGGACCCC